This 202-nucleotide long non-coding RNA is filed under the name Phoenix dactylifera (date palm). RNAcentral describes it as "long non-coding RNA (PDAC_LNC012375)". The record is from RNAcentral. Lineage: Eukaryota; Viridiplantae; Streptophyta; Magnoliopsida; Arecales; Arecaceae.
UCCGCUUCUUAAGGUAGUCAAGGCAUUAGCUUGUUCAUGGUGAACAUCAUUCGAGUGAGUCUCUUGAGCCAUGUACUGCCCUCUCGGGUUACUCACUGAUUGGCUUGGAAGCUUGCCUUCCUCUCUCUUAUUUAGUGCACUCGCUAGCUGCCCUAGCUGGAUUUCUAAUUUGGCAAUAGACUGGGUAUGGGAGUGCAACAAU